Molecule: long non-coding RNA, 467 nt
Filed under: Salvia miltiorrhiza (redroot sage)
Lineage: Eukaryota; Viridiplantae; Streptophyta; Magnoliopsida; Lamiales; Lamiaceae
Description: long non-coding RNA (SMIL_LNC010960)
Source: RNAcentral
AAAAACUGAAGUGCUGUGAGCGGCGACAAAAAGUAGGGUUUGCGGCAGAGUAGAAAUUUCAACGCUGGCCCUUGGCAGAGUAGAAAUGCAGGUCUGGAUCUAGACUUUGCAGCGCUGGCAUUCUUCAGCGCUGGCGGCAACGUCAAAGUAGAAAUGCAGCGCUGGCAUUUUUCAGCGCUGGUGGCAAUGUAAGAGUGGAAUUGCAGCGCUGCCAGCAAUGUAAGAGUGGAAUUGCAGCGCUGAAAACAAAAACAUUAACACCCAGAAUCAAAGCAACCGAACAAGCAACCAAAAACAAGAAAAAAAAAUGGAAAGCAAAGAACAAGAAAAACAAAAAUACUACGCCAAAAUUUGACUCAACCUAAACACUACGCUAGAUUGACUCGCAAUAGAACGAGAUCUAUUGUAACGUGUAAGCUAACCCAAGUCGUCUAUCAAGGAAGAUCUUAAAGGGAUUUUAAUUAUAU